UACCAGCACCCCGAGUGGUCGGGACGAUUAUUGGGCCUAAAGCAUCCGUAGCCGGUUCUGCAAGUCCUCCGUUAAAUCCACCCGCUCAACGGUUGGGCCGCGGGGGAUACUACAGGGCUAGGAGGCGGGAGAGGCAAGCGGUACUCGAUGGGUAGGGGUAAAAUCCACUGAUCCAUUGAAGACCACCAGUGGCGAAGGCGGCUUGCCAGAACGCGCUCGACGGUGAGGGAUGAAAGCUGGGGGAGCAAACCGG
This 253-nucleotide ribosomal RNA is filed under the name uncultured bacterium. RNAcentral describes it as "partial 16S ribosomal RNA". It matches the Rfam family "Archaeal small subunit ribosomal RNA", at positions 474 to 727 of the family's 1478-position model. The record is from RNAcentral.